UACGUAGGGUGCGAGCGUUGCCCGGAUUUAUUGGGCGUAAAGGGCGCGUAGGCGGCCACGCACGUCCGUUGUGAAAUCGCCCGGCUCAACUGGGCGGGGUCAGCGGAUACGGUGUGGCUCGAGCAAGCUAGGGGGCAAUGGAACUCCCGGUGUAGUGGUGGAAUGCGUAGAUAUCGGGAGGAACACCAGUGGCGAAGGCGACUUCCUGGCCUGUUCUUGACGCUGAGGCGCGAAAGCUAGGGGAGCAAACGGG
RNAcentral lists this ribosomal RNA (253 nucleotides) under uncultured bacterium. Its description in RNAcentral is "partial 16S ribosomal RNA". It matches the Rfam family "Bacterial small subunit ribosomal RNA", at positions 524 to 776 of the family's 1533-position model. The record is from RNAcentral.